RNAcentral lists this ribosomal RNA (631 nucleotides) under uncultured Russulales. RNAcentral describes it as "eukaryotic LSU rRNA". It matches the Rfam family "Eukaryotic large subunit ribosomal RNA", at positions 56 to 663 of the family's 3401-position model. The record is from RNAcentral. Lineage: Eukaryota; Fungi; Basidiomycota; Agaricomycetes; Agaricales.
GAACUAACAAGGAUUCCCCUAGUAACUGCNAGUGAAGCGGGAAANUCCCAAAUUUAAAAUCUGGUGGUCUUUGGCCAUCCGAGUUGUAAUUUAGAGAAGUGUNUUCCGCGCUGGACCGUGCACAAGUCUCCUGGAAUGGAGCAUCAUAGAGGGUGAGAAUCCCGUCUUUGGCAUGGACACACCAGGGCUUUUGUGAUGCGCUCUCGAAGAGUCGAGUUGUUUGGGAAUGCAGCUCAAAAUGGGUGGUGAACUCCAUCUAAAGCUAAAUAUUGGCGAGAGACCGAUAGCGAACAAGUACCGUGAGGGAAAGAUGAAAAGCACUUUGGAAAGAGAGUGAAACAGUACGUGAAAUUGUUGAAAGGGAAACGCUUGAAGUCAGUCGCGUUGGCCAAGACUCAGCCUUGCCCCAUGGCUUGGUGUACUUCUUGGCCAACGGGUCAACAUCAAUUUUGCCCCUUGGAUAAUGAUGAGGGAAAUGUGACNCCUUUACGGGUGUGUUAUAGUCUCUUGUCGCAUGCAAGGGUCAGGGUUGAGGAACUCAGCAUGCACCCUUUGGGUGUCGGGACUUUGUNCACGAUACAUGCUUAAGAUGUUGGCGUAAUGGCUUUAAACGACCCGUUUGGAAAACACG